UUAUUUGGGUUUAAAUAUUAAUAUUUGAUUAUAAUCGUAUUGUCAUUAAUUGCUAGAUAUCUCAAUAGUAUUAUUUUGGAGUGCGCUACUGAGAUUAUAUAACAAUUUUCUGGGGUACACUGCUAAGAUUCUACUAUAUGAAUUGGAGGUAUUGCUGACAAAAAAUUUAUUAUUGUAAUUAAUUAUUGAUAUUUAUAAUCCAUAAAUAAUCUCAUUAGGAGGGCACUCCUAAAUUGUACUAAUAUUUAUUGAAUACACCUCCAAGAUAUUCUAAUGAACAAAAUAUCUAAUGGAGGGGAGAGAACGCCAAACUUUUGUGUCGGUCUUUAUUAUUAUUAAUUAAAGAAAAUCAGUCGGGAGAAGGGAAGGUUAUAAAUUAAUGGGAUUGCAGGGAAUGAAAAACUAAAGUUUAAAUUCCUUAGUACAGUGUACUGACAGAAUACUAAGGGAACAGCUUAAGGAGGUUACUUUGUUAGCAAAGGGAAGUAAGGGGUGGAUUGUUGUUUUAAGCAUUGUUUAGAAGCUAGAUAAGCCAGGUUUACAGUUUCAGAUGGUCAUGCUUCUCCUGGAUUGAUUAAUUAAUAUGCGUAAUGUCCUAGGAGGAGGGGUUGCAUAGGGGAUAUAAGCUGAUAAACACCAUGCAAUGGCAGAAAAAUAAUUUUGUCUUUACGAUAAGAGGUGUGAUAGAGGGAAUUCCUGUAAAUAUAGGCAUGUUUGUAGAUAUUGUAACGGAAGUCACUCUGGUGUGGAUUGUAAAAGGGGCAACGUGAAUAGGCCCAGGUAUUCCUUUCAAGGGCAGGGUAAUACCAGUAGUGGAGUUGGAUUGGGGGUUGGCCAAAACACCACUGAAGAUAGAUAGGUUGUUACAAGAACUACUGGCAUAUGAGAACAUAGAGGAUAGAAAAUUUCUAGAGCAUAGUUUGUCUGAGGGUUUUGUGGUACCAGUUUGCUGCAAGAGAAAUUGGACAAGGAGGUAAAAUUAGGGAGGAUGGCAGGCACAUUUAAAGAAAAAACGAUUGAGGAUUUAGUAGGGCAAGUACAGGAUGAUCCAACACCUAUCUUACCCCAGGGGAGGGUCAAUAAAUGAUGCAAUAGCUAAAAAGGAUUCAUUUGUUGAAUACCAGUCUUUUGACAGGGCAGUGCAUAUGGUGCGGGCUUUGGGUAAGGGAGCUUUGUUAUUAAAAAUUUACAUAGAUUCAGCAUUUCGUUUGUUGCCCCUUAACCCAGAGAGUUUUAAAUUAAGGGGUUGCAAGUUUUAAUGGCAACUAUUAUGUUGAUAAAAGUUUACCCAUAGGGUGUUCAAUUUCAUUUAGUUCUUUUUUGCAUUGGUUAAGCAUUAAGAAGUCUGGUAUGGGCAAUGUUGUUCACUAUUUAGAUGAAUUUUUUUUUGUGGAUGGGCUUAGCGGGAGCUAACGAUUGUGAAAGGUUAAAGGUGAAUUAUUUGCAAAUGUUGGAAAAUUUUGGGAGUACCGGUAGCUAUGGAGAAGACAGAGGGGCCUUGUACCAAGCUAGUCUUGCUAGGUAUAGUCAUAGAUUCCAUGAAGGGCCAAUGCGAGUUACCAGAGGAGAAGGGGAAAAAGGCCAGGGAUCUGAUAAGGGAAAUUGUAGGGAGUUGAAAAAUAUCGCUCAGGGAAAUGGAGAAAGUCCUAGGAAUUUUUUAACUUUGCGUGUAAGGUUAUACGAGUGGGCAGAGUAUUUAAGAGAAGAUUGGAGUUGAGUACCUGUGGAAUAAAGAAGCCAGAACAUAGAAUCAGAAUAACCAAAUAAUUGAAGGAAGAUCUCAAAGUGUGGGAUUCAUUCUUGAUCCAGUUUAAUGGGGUGAGGAUUUGGGAGAAGGAAAUUCUAUCGGAGGAGCUUGAGUUUUUUAUGGAAAGGGGGAAAGUGGUGCGCAGGAGGGUGACCAGAAAGAUGGAAGGAGAUGGAUUGGGUUAAGAACUUGGAACUGCUGGAGCUAUUCCCCUUAGUGGUAGCAAUAGACUUAUGGGGCGAGGAGUUGGCAAAUAGAAAUUUAAUCUGUUGGUCGGACAACAGGGGAGUGGUAGAGGUCAUCAACCUUCUAUCGGCAUCAUCGCUACCAGUAAUUAGGUACUUAAGGUAUUUGGGUCUGAAAUGUUUAAAGCAUAACAUCUGUAUCAGGGCCAAACAUAUUCCGGGUUUCAGAAAUGUAGUGGCGGACACGCUAUCCCGUUUUAAAUGGGAGAAGUUUAGGGUCUAGCCCCCAAUGCCAGACAAGAAGGUGAAUGUUGCCCUGGACUUCUUUGGCAGAUUGGCAACGGAUAGACGGAAUCAAGGAACUCGUCGAAGGCCCUGGCACCAAGUAAAUGGGCGGUUUACAGAAAAUAUGGGGAACUAUGGUGCAAGUAUAGGAAGGGGACACGAGAAGGGGAGGAAGGAAGAUUCCUAGAAAGGUUGAUGGAGCUAAGGAGAGAAGGGGUUAAAAAAGAGCGGUUAGGAUCAGUGCUAGCGGGGAUAGCAUAUUGCACGCAGCUAUAUGGUGGAAUAGAUUGGACUAAGAAGUUCAUAGUGAAAAAGAUUGUGGGGGCAUGGGGGAGAGAUGAGGAGAAGGUAACAGAUAGGAGGCUACCAGUAACAGAAGAUGGAUUGGAAAGAAUGGUAGGGGUAUUGUCAGGGGUUUGCGCAAGCACAGAUGAGGUGAUAAUUUUCAGGACAGCAUUCAUAGUGGCUUUCCACAGAGCAAUGAGGAUAGGGGAGCUGCUGCCAAAAAGCAGGAAGGUAGGAAAAGGGGGAGUAGAAACAGGGGACGUGAGAUGCGGGGAGGAAGCAGUGCUGGUAUUUGUAAGACGAUCCAAGACAGAUACAGAAGGAAAAGGGGCAUGGUUGAAUAUGGUAGGGACAGGAGGGACACUGUGCCCGGUGGCCUGUGUGAAAAGUUAUCUAGCAACUCAAAGGGGCAAAGGGCGAACAUUCCUGCGGCAUGCGGAUGGGUCGGAGGUAACAAACUUUCAAUUCAAGAGCGUACUGCAGAGGGUGGUGAGGAAGCUAGGGUGGGGGAGUGCAUACUUUGCACCACACUCCUUUAGAAUAGGUGCGGCAACCGCUGCAGAGAGAAGAGGCGGUUCAGAGGAACAGAUAAAAAACUGGGGAGAUGGAAAUCGGCAGCCUAUAAGUCAUACAUUAGGAUGCGAGAAAGUAAGGCAGGAGGGAUAUAGAUAAGAUGGUAUUAUUAUUGCUGUGUUGGUUUGGUUUGCGGCGAGGUUUGGAAAAGCACAGAUGAAUAGUUACUAACGUGUGAAAUUUGUUUUAUUACAGGCAAAACAUUAAGAGUCUGGAUAGUGGGGCAUUCCUACGUUUAUUGGGCGCAGGCUAGGCCAGCAGCGUCAGGGCAAGGGGUACACAUAGGUUUUAUGCAUAAGGAAGCUAGCAUCAUAUGGAUAGGCAAAAGAGGGAUAAGGUGGGAUGAGUUAGUGCCAACAGUACAGCAGGCAAGGUUAAGAUAGGGAUGUCCUGAUGCCCUGAUUAUACACCUCAGGGAAAACAAUAUAGGAGCAUACCCGCUCAGAGAGCCGGAAGAGAAAGUGGCAGAAGGAAUGAGAUGGUUAAAGGUAGCAGGGCCAUCAGUGCUGGUGAUACGGUCCAACAUAGUGUCAAGCUUGUACUGAAGGAACUCGUAUACGAGUAAGUAUAGAUCAAGGAGAAAGGUGAAUCAGGUAGCAGCGAAGGUAAUGAAGGAGAUAGGGGGCGGAGUAGUAGAGCACCCAUUGAUAGCAGCCAAAAAGGAGGAGCUGCUCAGACGGGAUGGAGUACACCUCAUGGAUGAGGGGAAUGACCACAUGCUGGCGGACAUCAGAGGGAUGUGCCAAGAGCUGGUGGAGACGCAGCAGAGCACGAUGCAAUAACCGGAGAGGUCACGUGAGAAGGCAAUACUUGCACGGCUAAGGGCAGGACGUUGACUAAUUGGUUGAGUCGCAGUAAGACCGCCCGUGCUCCUCAAUAAGGGGAAGAACACAGCGCAACCGAAGGGCAGCAGGUGACCUGGCGGUCUACGCUGACUGGAGGAUAGAAAACGGCAGCUGUUUUUGACAUAGUAUUGAGCAUACAAUCGCAGCAAGCAGUGAAGUUUGUGCACGACACGUGGGCGGGGCAGAAGGGGAGGUGGGAGGAUCCCGCGGCAUACCCAGCCCUGUGGGGUGAUCCGGUGGUCUAUCUAGUGGGGGGCUGUGCCGUGGGUUCUCCCUUCUCCAAGCUGCCCUGCCAGGGGGGGGGGGGGUAGUUGUUACACCCCCCUAGGCGUGGUUCCCAAAAUUCUGGUUUUAAUGCAAGGGCAUUAUUUGGUGUUUUAUUGAGUUGAUUUAUGGCUGAAUUUUGCAAGAUAUAGUUAAAGGUGGCAAAAUUCAAUUAAGUAAUAAAAUCGUGACCUUUCCACAUUUCGCCAUAA
This is a long non-coding RNA of Bombina bombina (fire-bellied toad), 4396 nucleotides long. RefSeq lists it as uncharacterized. The transcript is spliced from 2 exons. NCBI's taxonomy places the organism in Eukaryota, Metazoa, Chordata, Amphibia, Anura, Bombinatoridae. The record is from RefSeq and is a predicted model, not a curated record.